GCAGUGGUGGAAAAAUCAUUGGUUAAACAAAAUAAGAUUCAACGCUUCAUAUUUCUUCAAAUCUAAGUUAUUCCUUCCAUCUAAUUGUGUGGUUAGUCUUAUUGCUGUUGUUUUUCUAUCAUUUUAUUGUGAUAUUUUCUUGUACAUGAACAAUGAAAUAUCAAAAAGCCCAUAGUUUUAACUUUCUUUAAUUUGUUUUCCGGGAAAAGAAAUUGACAAUCUGGAGUUUCUUCUAGAAAAUUUAAGACAUUUGCCCCAAUUGAGGUCUAAUCUCUAGGCAUGUGAUAUUGAAGAUGCAUGUUCUGAGUGAGAUCCAGAGUGUUCGGGGACUUGAGGUUUUAUGUAGUGAAAGAGAAGCACAUCCAUCGAUCAUAGCAAUUAUUGCAUACGCAAAUAGUUGUAAUUAAACCGGAAUAGUUGCAUACAAAGAAUGCAGUUUCUUGGGUUCUUAAAGUAGAAUCCACUCCUUGGCGACUAUAAUAGGUGCUUAACCCCAAUGUUACCAGAAUUGAGUCCCUUCCACCUCUUACCUUUUGCUUCUCCCCACGAGAAUACAACUCAGUUGCAGAUUUGUUGGCCAAACAAGGUUCAUGGCGCAAUGAGGAUUUCAUUGCUUUCUUUUAAAUCCUGGUUUCAAAUUGUUGUAUGUAUUUGUGUAUUCAACUUGUUUCUUUUGUUUGUUUGCAGUUUUUCUCUUGAGACUUGAGCUGGUUUUUGGUCUCUUUGUUUCCUUUGGUUCUGGUAUUGUAAUUUUGCUCCCUCCAGGUUUUUUCACUUAGCAUGUAUCAUCUUAGGUUGGGUGUACUGGGUAGGUCUGAUGACCUGGGUUUAGUCAGAUAAUACAUGCUAAGUUUUUCCUGGAUUUAUUAAUAAAAUGAUUUUGCUUAUAAAAAAAAAAGUGAAGUCUAGCAUUGGGGAGCAUGAAUCAAGCUUCCUCAACAUAAAUUUGGAUUGAAUUUGGACUUUGAGUUGGAGUCAGGAAGUUGUUCUGUUUUUAUAUCAUCAAAUAGAGCAUCAUCACAUGACAGAGCA
RNAcentral lists this unclassified non-coding RNA (1032 nucleotides) under Hevea brasiliensis (rubber tree). The record is from RNAcentral. Lineage: Eukaryota; Viridiplantae; Streptophyta; Magnoliopsida; Malpighiales; Euphorbiaceae.